This 123-nucleotide ribosomal RNA is filed under the name Pteropus alecto (black flying fox). Lineage: Eukaryota; Metazoa; Chordata; Mammalia; Chiroptera; Pteropodidae. RNAcentral also lists the same sequence under 1 other name. The record is from RNAcentral.
GUCUAUGGUCAUGCCACCCUGAAUGUGCCCGAUCUCGUCUGAUCUUAGAAGCUAAGCAGGGUCGGGUGGGCCUGGUUAGUACUUGGAUGGGAGACCACCUAGCAAUACCAGGUGCUAUAGGCA